Molecule: long non-coding RNA, 1055 nt
Filed under: Capra hircus (goat)
Lineage: Eukaryota; Metazoa; Chordata; Mammalia; Artiodactyla; Bovidae
Description: lncRNA (ENSCHIG00010005486.1)
Source: RNAcentral
AUGGCGUGUGGAAUCUUCCUGGACCAGGGAUCAAGCUCAUAUUCCCUGUACUGGCAGGUGGACUCUUAUCCACCAUGCCACCAGGGAAGUCCAAGAGGAUGUCUUCUUGCCACAGACUCCACCUUUGGAUCCAGUGGAAAUAACAGAUUUGAGAGAGAGGAGGUGAGGGAAGGGGAAAGCCUGCAGCCAAGAGGGGGUUGGAGAAUAGGGCUGAGAUAUUCUCCUGUCUCAGAGGAAGAGCACUUCUGCCAGGGAUCAGGAAGAGAUGUGCUGUCUGAGUCCUCAGAUGCACGUAGGUUACCCAGGAAGGCACUGGAGCAGAGUAGGAAAGAAAGAGUCCGACCUGGGCUUGAAUGCUGCCUCUGCCAGUUGGAAGCCAUGAGAUCUAGGGCAGGUUUCUCCACUCUGAGCCUUAGUUUUCUCUUUGUAAAGGGGGUCAGUAAUACUGCCUUCUCCCUGAAUUGCUGUGGUUCGAGCUUCAUUGCUUUUAUGGUUUUUUGUCUCAAGUCGGCACUCUUCUGUCUUAAGUUUUAUCCAGCCUCCCACGCUCUCAAACCAAUGAUCAUAGGCUCCUUCUGAAGGAAGAGAAUUUGGCUUUGAGAAGAAGACGGAGUCAUUGCAGCUUUUCUUCAAGUUCUCCUGCUCCUCAUGGUCACAGCUCAGCUUGUCAUUUGCUUCGGACCUUCCCUCCUUUCUCUGUCUUGACAGAUAAUAGCCCAACAUGCUGCAUUUCUUUCUCAUGAUGAAGUAGCAUCUCAUUUCCUCUCUCGUGAGUGUUUGUGACCACACUUUCACUAGAGGCUUUCUCAUCACUAAGAUGACCUAUCGGCUCUGCUUUUCUGUUCUCUUCUGCAGCGUUGGUGAGAAUUGAUUUUUCUCUCCAUCCGGGGUGGUGAGAUGCAUGCUCGGUUUUGGAAUUUUAGUCAGUUCCCUCCUGGAUCUUUGUGCCUGGUCAUCAACAUUGUUGACAUGCCCUGAUUCCAAUUUGUUACCUCAUUCUCUUCUCCUCAGAGGUUAAAGCGUCUGCCUGCAAUGCGGGAGACCUGGGUUCGAUC